This 499-nucleotide ribosomal RNA is filed under the name uncultured bacterium. RNAcentral's name for it is "partial 16S ribosomal RNA". It matches the Rfam family "Bacterial small subunit ribosomal RNA", at positions 28 to 507 of the family's 1533-position model. The record is from RNAcentral.
GACGAACGCUGGCGGCGUGCCUAAUACAUGCAAGUCGAGCGAAGUUUUUCUGGUGCUUGCACUAGAAGAACUUAGCGGCGAACGGGUGAGUAACACGUAAAGAACCUGCCUCAUAGACUGGGACAACUAUUGGAAACGAUAGCUAAUACCGGAUAACAGUAUUUCUCGCAUGAGAGAUAUUUAAAAGUUGGUUAUGCUAACACUAUGAGAUGGCUUUGCGGUGCAUUAGCUAGUUGGUGGGGUAAAGGCCCACCAAGGCGACGAUGCAUAGCCGACCUGAGAGGGUGAUCGGCCACACUGGGACUGAGACACGGCCCAGACUCCUACGGGAGGCAGCAGUAGGGAAUCUUCCGCAAUGGGCGAAAGCCUGACGGAGCAACGCCGCGUGAGUGAAGAAGGAUUUCGGUUCGUAAAGCUCUGUUGUUAGGGAAGAAUGGAUAUGUAGUAACUAUACAUGUAAGAGACGGUACCUAACCAGAAAGCCACGGCUAACUACGCG